CCGGCACGGGUGAGUAACGCGUAUGCAACUUGCCUAUCAGGAGGGGAUAACCCGGCGAAAGUCGGACUAAUACCGCAUGAAGCAGGGGCCCCGCAUGGGGAUAUUUGCUAAAGAUUCAUCGCUGAUAGAUAGGCAUGCGUUCCAUUAGGCAGUUGGCGGGGUAACGGCCCACCAAACCGACGAUGGAUAGGGGUUCUGAGAGGAAGGUCCCCCACAUUGGACUGAGACACGGCCAA
This 236-nucleotide ribosomal RNA is filed under the name uncultured bacterium. RNAcentral's name for it is "partial 16S ribosomal RNA". It matches the Rfam family "Bacterial small subunit ribosomal RNA", at positions 100 to 334 of the family's 1533-position model. The record is from RNAcentral.